Molecule: unclassified non-coding RNA, 2166 nt
Filed under: Leishmania donovani
Lineage: Eukaryota; Euglenozoa; Kinetoplastea; Trypanosomatida; Trypanosomatidae
Description: gene:unknown
Source: RNAcentral
GCAUCCCUCUCUGUCGCCCUCUCAUUUUCUCGUUUCAAGAGGAGCCGCGCCUCGCCGACACGUGGCCCCGCGUUCAACACACACGGCGGAUCGCCUACUGCCUCUCUCACUGGAACCCCGCGACAUCCAGAAGGCCGUCGUCUGCUUUGCCCUCGCUGAUUUGCCCUUCUUUCGGCUGCAGCUCUCCCUAGCGCGCGUUCUACUGCAACGCUGACGGUGUACAGCUCGACUUCACCUACUCGCCCAUCAUGUCGAUGCAACAAGACUUUGUUCACCCGCGUCAGAUGGAUGACAUGCGGGCCAUUCACGCCGCCAUCAACUCCUUCAGCGGUGUCAUGACCAAGAUGAUGAUGCUGAUGAAGGAGCUUGGGACCACGCUGGGGCACGUGAGCCACGCCUUCGAUGCACUCACCUCUCUCAGUUUUACCGAUGACGAGGUAAAGCAGUACGUGCACCACUUUGGCGAAGAGGUCAUCAGCAUGAAGGAGGGCAUCGCCUUUUGCCAAUACAACAAGCUUGUACAUGAGGAUGUGCUGCACCCGGUCGAGCAGCUGAAAAAAUCGCUGAAGGAGGCGGAGAAGGCGGCGAAGGCGGAGAAGAGCGCCUUUGAGAAGUACAGGAAGGCAAAGCAGUGCGUUGAUAAGCAGGAGAAGGCGUUUGCGGAGAGGAGCAAACCCCUGGACACGAGCAAAUCUUAUCCCACGCACGUGCAGGCGCGGAAUAAGGCGCUUGUCUCGCUGCAGAACUGCAAUAAAGAAUUUGAAGAUAGGUUCGCGAUGUUGGUGAACGACGUGAAGAACGUGACGGCGACGGCGCUCAAGCGCUACCUCGAACUCAACGCGGGCUACAUGACGUCUGUCGUGGACGCCCUCACCAAGACGGACCCUACCAUCGAGGAGGCUGCUGUCCUCCACUGUCAAGAGCAGCAGGAGCACCGGCAGAGCGUUGUCGAGCAGCGCUGCUUGCAGGUGAAUUCAGAGCUGAGCAUCGUUCAUGCCUCACAGGGGUACCGGCUCGACCCGAACGGGAUGAAUGGUGGCCUACACGACGGAAUCAUCUUCAAGAGCCUUCCGAGUAGGUUCCGGCAACAGCACAGAGUCUCGAGCACGGUCUCACGGGGCCAACCGCCUCGCGGUCGGAUGCCGUCGCCGGCAAUGACGGCCAUGAACGGUGGUUUGAAGUAGCCUCACAGGGGUACAUCAGCAGUGGUAAGCCUGAGGACCUUGAAGCCUACCGCGGAAGCAGCGACCGCCACAACGGCCGCCGUCGUUGCCGCGCCUCCAUCAGCCGUCGAGGACAACGCUGAUGACGAAGACUUCGGCUCUAUCUCACAGGUGGGCAUCGCUGGCAGGGAGGCACCGCCACUGUACACGUUUGGUCGUGGCCCGCAGUCGGUGGUGUCGUCGGCACCACCGCAGCCCGGCUACAUAGCCUCUCACAACUCUGCUCUGACGACCGAAUUCAUGACUCGCAUGGAGGCGAAUAGCAUCGCAGCCUCUGAGGUGUGUGCCCCUCGCUAGGCGCUGAAGGCCGCGCGUUUGCGAAGAAAGCUGCAGCCCGUGCGACUCACAGGAAAGCGCAGGCUGGCUUUAAAUGCACCUCCUUCGAUGGCGCAACCUUGCUUUCCGUUUAUAUUUACUGUUUUCAUACGCCUUUAAGCGCGCUUAACCGCUUUAUACCCGCGCAGGCCCGCUGGGGAGGGGGAAGUAUGGCGCUGCUUCUGAUUUCGGUGUGUCGGCGUCAGCCGUUUCUGUUUCGGUUCUUCUCCCUCCAUUAUCUUUCCCUGCUGCAAGCUCGGCGUCUCGUGGCAUGCCCUCAUGUCUCUCUCUCUCUUCGCGUCUGUGCUAGUGUUUUGAGCUGAAUCCGGUGAACUACUGCCCAUGUUGCUUGUCUGCUUUCCAUAGGGACUCGGUGCGGUUGUCUUUGCAACGAAGCUCACGGCACCAGUCGAACUCUGCGCUGGGCGGCAACUGCGCCCCAUUAGCGCUAGGCCGAUCGCCUUCGCGGGGAUGAGCACGCGAAGACGCAGCACGUGUGAUGUGCGUGUUGCCCUCUCUCUCCUUAUGCGGCUCUCUCAUUGCCUUCGUCACCCUUCCUUUGUCGUGCCCGUGGCCUUAUCCCUCUUGCUCUACAUACAUCUUGCUCGCCCCUACCUCGGCAUCACAG